Molecule: unclassified non-coding RNA, 261 nt
Filed under: plant metagenome
Description: partial contains small subunit ribosomal RNA, internal transcribed spacer 1, and 5.8S ribosomal RNA
Source: RNAcentral
UUUCCGUAGGUGAACCUGCGGAAGGAUCAUUAUCCAUCUCAAACCUGGUGCGGUCGCGGCCCCCGGGGGCUUGCUCCCGGGUGGUAGGGGUAACACCCUCACGCGCCGCCUGCCUGUACCCUCUUUUUACGAGCACCUUUCGUUCUCCUUCGGCGGGGCAACCUGCCGCUGGAACCAAAACAAAACCUUUUUUGCAUCUAGCAUUACCUGUUCUGAUACAAGUAAUCGUUACAACUUUCAACAAUGGAUCUCUUGGCUCUG